RNAcentral lists this non-coding RNA (30 nucleotides) under Mus musculus (house mouse). The record is from RNAcentral. Lineage: Eukaryota; Metazoa; Chordata; Mammalia; Rodentia; Muridae.
UAGGUGACUUGAAGAGAAUUUACUUCUUCU